Non-coding RNA from Mytilinidion resinicola, 140 nucleotides. NCBI's taxonomy places the organism in Eukaryota, Fungi, Ascomycota, Dothideomycetes, Mytilinidiales, Mytilinidiaceae. The record is from the annotation of a RefSeq genome assembly.
GGGCGCUUGGUCUAGGGGUAUGAUUGUAAGUUCACCAUGAAAACCUUACCUAGGUUACUCAUCUAACCAACAAUAGUUCGCUUCGCAUCUUCUCGAUACGUAUUUGUGAAAGGUCGUGGGUUCAAUUCCCACAGCGUCCA